RNAcentral lists this ribosomal RNA (565 nucleotides) under uncultured bacterium. RNAcentral's name for it is "partial 16S ribosomal RNA". It matches the Rfam family "Bacterial small subunit ribosomal RNA", at positions 355 to 911 of the family's 1533-position model. The record is from RNAcentral.
UGGGGAAUUUUGGACAAUGGGCGCAAGCCUGAUCCAGCCAUGCCGCGUGCGGGAAGAAGGCCUUCGGGUUGUAAACCGCUUUUGUCAGGGAAGAAAUCUUCUGAGUUAAUACCUCGGGAGGAUGACGGUACCUGAAGAAUAAGCACCGGCUAACUACGUGCCAGCAGCCGCGGUAAUACGUAGGGUGCAAGCGUUAAUCGGAAUUACUGGGCGUAAAGCGUGCGCAGGCGGUUUUGUAAGACAGAGGUGAAAUCCCCGGGCUCAACCUGGGAACUGCCUUUGUGACUGCAAGGCUUGAGUGCGGCAGAGGGGGAUGGAAUUCCGCGUGUAGCAGUGAAAUGCGUAGAUAUGCGGAGGAACACCGAUGGCGAAGGCAAUCCCCUGGGCCUGCACUGACGCUCAUGCACGAAAGCGUGGGGAGCAAACAGGAUUAGAUAGCCCUGGUAGUCCACGCCCUAAAACGAUGUCAACUGGUUGUUGGGAAGGUUCCUUCUCAGUAACGUAGCUAACGCGUGAAGUUGACCGCCUGGGGAGUACGGCCGCAAGGUUGAAACUCAAAUGAAUU